UAUUGUUCACCGAAUCUGGUUGCUAGC
RNAcentral lists this small RNA (27 nucleotides) under Bombyx mori (domestic silkworm). RNAcentral's name for it is "ovarian small RNA-24295". The record is from RNAcentral. Lineage: Eukaryota; Metazoa; Arthropoda; Insecta; Lepidoptera; Bombycidae.